GGGGAUUUAGCUCAGUGGUAGAGCGCUUGCCUAGCAAGAGCAAGGCCCUAGCAAGACCCUGGGUUCGGUCCCCAGCUCCG
Molecule: transfer RNA, 80 nt
Filed under: Rattus norvegicus (Norway rat)
Lineage: Eukaryota; Metazoa; Chordata; Mammalia; Rodentia; Muridae
Rfam family: tRNA
About the family: Transfer RNA (tRNA) molecules are approximately 80 nucleotides in length.
Source: Rfam by way of RNAcentral